RNAcentral lists this ribosomal RNA (483 nucleotides) under uncultured bacterium. Its description in RNAcentral is "partial 16S ribosomal RNA". It matches the Rfam family "Bacterial small subunit ribosomal RNA", at positions 30 to 506 of the family's 1533-position model. The record is from RNAcentral.
AUUGAACGCUGGCGGCAGGCCUAACACAUGCAAGUCGAGCGGAUGAAGGGAGCUUGCUCCUGGAUUCAGCGGCGGACGGGUGAGUAAUGCCUAGGAAUCUGCCUGGUAGUGGGGGAUAACGUCCGGAAACGGGCGCUAAUACCGCAUACGUCCUGAGGGAGAAAGUGGGGGAUCUUCGGACCUCACGCUAUCAGAUGAGCCUAGGUCGGAUUAGCUAGUUGGUGGGGUAAAGGCCUACCAAGGCGACGAUCCGUAACUGGUCUGAGAGGAUGAUCAGUCAAACUGGACUUGAGCAACGGCCAGGCUCCUAACGGGAGGAACAAGGGGGGAAAAUUGACAAUUGGCGGAAACCCGGACCAACCAAGCCGGGGGGGGUGAAGAAGGCUUCCGGUUUGUAAAGACUUUAAGGUUGGGAGGAAGGGAAGUAGGUAAAACCUUGGUUGUUUGGCCGUUACAACAAGAAUAAGACCCGCUAAAUUCCUU